Molecule: ribosomal RNA, 458 nt
Filed under: uncultured bacterium
Lineage: Bacteria
Description: SSU rRNA
Rfam family: Bacterial small subunit ribosomal RNA
Source: RNAcentral
AGAAUCAACGCUGGCGGCGUGCCUAACACAUGCAAGUCGAACGAGAAAGGGACUUCGGUCCUGAGUAUAGUGGCGCACGGGUGAGUAACACGUGAAUAAUCUACCCUCGAGUGGGGAAUAACUGAGAGAAAUCUUAGCUAAUACCGCAUAACACUUACGAGUCAAAGCAAGCAAUUGCGCUUGGGGAGGAGUUCGCGGCCGAUUAGCUAGUUGGCGGGGUAAUGGCCCACCAAGGCGAUGAUCGGUAUCCGGCCUGAGAGGGCGCACGGACACACUGGAACUGAAACACGGUCCAGACUCCUACGGGAGCAGCAGUGGGGAAUUUUGCGCAAUGGGGGAAACCCGUGACGCAGCAACGCCGCGUGGAGGAUGAAGUAUCUUGGUACGUAAACUCCUUCGAUGGGAAGAUAAUGACGGUACCAUAGAAGAAGCCCGGCUAACUUCGUGCCAGCAGCCGC